GUAGGUGGCAAGCGUUGUCCGGAAUUAUUGGGGCGUAAAGCGCGCGCAGGCGGUUCUUUAAGUCUGAUGUGAAAGCCCACGGGCUCAACCGUGGAGGGUCAUUGGAAACUGGAGAACUUGAGUACAGAAGAGGAAAGCGGAAGUCCACGUGUAGCGGUGAAAUGCGUAGAGAUGUGGAGGAACACCAGUGGCGAAGGCGGCUUUCUGGUCUGUAACUGACGCUGAGGCGCGAAAGCGUGGGGAGCAAACAGGAUUAGAUACCCUGGUAGUCCACGCCGUAAACGAUGAGUGCUAAGUGUUAGGGGGUUUCCGCCCCUUAGUGCUGCAGCUAACGCAUUAAGCACUCCGCCUGGGGAGUACGGCCGCAAAGGCUG
This 374-nucleotide ribosomal RNA is filed under the name uncultured organism. Its description in RNAcentral is "partial 16S ribosomal RNA". It matches the Rfam family "Bacterial small subunit ribosomal RNA", at positions 527 to 896 of the family's 1533-position model. The record is from RNAcentral.